GUUUAGUGGGGGCCUUCCUCUCCUCAUUUCUGUGUACCUGCAUUUACAAGGAAUGGUUGAGUAACGACCCAUCGAUGAGUAUUUUUUUUUUUUUUUUGAAGGACUAUAGUGUAAGGGAUGGGUCCGAGGAAAUGCGGCUCUGAUACCAACUGUAACGACCCCGUAAAUAUUAAAAUGAAAUGAGUAUUUAAAUAUAUCAAAUGCGGAAGCGAGAUCAAAAAUUCAG
Molecule: long non-coding RNA, 226 nt
Filed under: Carica papaya (papaya)
Lineage: Eukaryota; Viridiplantae; Streptophyta; Magnoliopsida; Brassicales; Caricaceae
Description: long non-coding RNA (CPAP_LNC014318)
Source: RNAcentral